GAGAUGAUCAGGUAGAUAGGUUGGAAGUGGAAGGCUAGUGAUAGUUGGAGCGGACCAAUACUAAUCGGUCGAGGACUUAACCAAA
RNAcentral lists this ribosomal RNA (85 nucleotides) under Enterococcus faecalis. RNAcentral describes it as "partial 23S ribosomal RNA". The record is from RNAcentral. Lineage: Bacteria; Bacillati; Bacillota; Bacilli; Lactobacillales; Enterococcaceae.